This 826-nucleotide ribosomal RNA is filed under the name uncultured bacterium. RNAcentral's name for it is "bacterial SSU rRNA". It matches the Rfam family "Bacterial small subunit ribosomal RNA", at positions 1 to 813 of the family's 1533-position model. The record is from RNAcentral.
UUAGAGUUUGAUCCUGGCUCAGGACGAACUUUGGCGGCAUGCCUAAUACAUGCAAGUCGAACGCUGAAGCACUCUGCUUGCAGAGUGCGGAUGAGUGGCGAACGGGUGAGUAACACGUGGGAAAUCUGCCCUUCAGCGGGGGAUAACCGUCGGAAACGAUGGCUAAUACCGCAUAGGUCUUUUAACCGCCUGGUUGAAAGAGGAAAGACGGCUUCGGCUGUCACUGAAGGAUGGUCCCGCGGUGCAUUAGCUAGUUGGUAAGGUAACGGCUUACCAAGGCGAUGAUGCAUAGCCGACCUGAGAGGGUGAUCGGCCACAUUGGGACUGAGACACGGCCCAAACUCCUACGGGAGGCAGCAGUAGGGAAUCUUCCGCAAUGGACGCAAGUCUGACGGAGCAACGCCGCGUGUGUGAAGAAGGUCUUCGGAUCGUAAAGCACUGUUAUUAGAGAAGAACAACCGGUAGAGUAACCGUUACCGGCUUGACGGUAUCUAACCAGAAAGCCACGGCUAACUACGUGCCAGCAGCCGCGGUAAUACGUAGGUGGCAAGCGUUGUCCGGAUUUAUUGGGCGUAAAGGGAGCGCAGGCGGUGACUUAAGUCUGAUGUGAAAGCCCACGGCUCAACCGUGGUAGGUCAUUGGAAACUGGGCCACUUGAGUGCAGAAGAGGAAAGUGGAAUUCCAUGUGUAGCGGUGAAAUGCGUAGAUAUAUGGAGGAACACCAGUGGCGAAGGCGACUUUCUGGUCUGUAACUGACGCUGAGGCUCGAAAGCGUGGGGAGCAAACAGGAUUAGAUACCCUGGUAGUCCACGCCGUAAACGAUGAG